GGAUGUGAGGGCGAUCUGGCUGUGACACCUGUCACCCCAUUGAUCACCAUGGUUCAUUUGGCUGAUCUGGCUGGCUAGACGGUGUCCCCUUCCUCCCUCAAUGCUCCAUACGCAUCCCUCCAGAAGCUGCGUGCUCAGUUGAAGAGGAUGACGACCCCCAACAGAGGAGGACAGUUCCUCAGUCAAGGGUGUACAAGUAGCUGCGCUCCCCUCUAGAACCUCCGAACAGGCUCUCAAGAAUGGGAGAAAAUGUUUGCCAUCUAUCCUUCUGAACUGAGGAUUAAUAUCUAGAUCAUAU
Molecule: small nuclear RNA, 298 nt
Filed under: Chinchilla lanigera (long-tailed chinchilla)
Lineage: Eukaryota; Metazoa; Chordata; Mammalia; Rodentia; Chinchillidae
Description: 7SK RNA (ENSCLAG00000022014.1)
Rfam family: 7SK RNA
About the family: 7SK was discovered as an abundant small nuclear RNA in the mid-70s but a possible function has only recently been suggested. Two independent studies have found that 7SK RNA binds the CDK9/cyclin T complex (known as elongation factor P-TEFb). P-TEFb activates transcription by phosphorylating the C-terminal domain of RNA polymerase II.
Source: Rfam by way of RNAcentral